UAACAUCUGUGCCAGCAGCCGCGGUAAUACAGAGGGUGCAAGCGUUAAUCGGAAUUACUGGGCGUAAAGCGCGCCGUAGGUGGUUUGUUAAGUUGGAUGUGAAAUCCCCGGGCUCAACCUGGGAACUGCAUUCAAAACUGACUGACUAGAGUAUGGUAGAGGGUGGUGGAAUUUCCUGUGUAGCGGUGAAAUGCGUAGAUAUAGGAAGGAACACCAGUGGCGAAGGCGACCACCUGGACUAAUACUGACACUGAGGUGCGUUAGCGUGGGGAGCAAACAGGAUUAGAUACCCUGGUAGUCCACGCCGUAAACGAUGUCAACUAGCCGUUGGAAGCCUUGAGCUAAUAGUGGCGCAGCUAACGCAUUAAGUUGACCGCCUGGGGAGUACGGCCGCAAGGUUAAAACUCAAAUGAAUUGACGGGGGCCCGCACAAGCGCUGGAGCAUGUGGUUUAAUUCGAAGCAACGCGAAGAACCUUACCAGGCCUUGACAUCCAAUGAACUUUCUAGAGAUAGAUUGGUGCCUUCCGGAACAUUGAGACAGGUGCUGCAUGGCUGUCGUCAGCUCGUCGUGAGAUGUCGGGUUAAGUCCCGUAACGAGCGCAACCCUUGUCCUUAGUAACCAGCACGUAAUGGUGCGCACUCUAAGGAGACUGCCGGUGACAAUCCGGAGGAAGGUGCGGAUGACGUCAAGUCAUCAUGGCGCUUACGGCCUGCGCUACACACGUGCUACAAUGGUCGGUACAGAGGGUUGCCAAGCCGCGAGGUGGAGCUAAUCCCAUAAAACCGAUCGUAGUCCGGAUCGCAGUCUGCAACUCGACUGCGUGAAGUCGGAAUCGCUAGUAAUCGCGAAUCAGAAUGUCGCGGUGAA
This 869-nucleotide ribosomal RNA is filed under the name Pseudomonas fluorescens. RNAcentral's name for it is "bacterial SSU rRNA". It matches the Rfam family "Bacterial small subunit ribosomal RNA", at positions 498 to 1366 of the family's 1533-position model. Lineage: Bacteria; Pseudomonadati; Pseudomonadota; Gammaproteobacteria; Pseudomonadales; Pseudomonadaceae. The record is from RNAcentral.